This 487-nucleotide ribosomal RNA is filed under the name uncultured bacterium. RNAcentral describes it as "partial 16S ribosomal RNA". It matches the Rfam family "Bacterial small subunit ribosomal RNA", at positions 28 to 523 of the family's 1533-position model. The record is from RNAcentral.
GAUGAACGCUGGCGGCGUGCUUAACACAUGCAAGUCGAACGGUGAAGGUGGGAGCUUGCUCCUGCUGGAUCAGUGGCGAACGGGUGAGUAACACGUGAGUAACCUGCCCCGGACUCUGGGAUAAGCGUUGGAAACGACGUCUAAUACCGGAUACGAGACGAGAAGGCAUCUUCAUCGUCUGGAAAGAUUUUUUGGUCUGGGAUGGACUCGCGGCCUAUCAGGUUGUUGGUGAGGUAAUGGCUCACCAAGCCUACGACGGGUAGCCGGCCUGAGAGGGUGACCGGCCACACUGGGACUGAGACACGGCCCAGACUCCUACGGGAGGCAGCAGUGGGGAAUAUUGCACAAUGGGCGAAAGCCUGAUACAGCAACGCCGCGUGAGGGACGACGGCCUUCGGGUUGUAAACCUCUUUUAGUAGGGAAGAAGCGAAAGUGACGGUACCUGCAGAAAAAGCACCGGCUAACUACGUGCCAGCAGCCGCCGCGG